Long non-coding RNA from Homo sapiens (human), 5172 nucleotides. RefSeq annotates it as HLA-DQA1 antisense RNA 1. The record is from RefSeq and is a predicted model, not a curated record. NCBI's taxonomy places the organism in Eukaryota, Metazoa, Chordata, Mammalia, Primates, Hominidae. The transcript is spliced from 2 exons.
GCUGAUGAGUGAAGAUGACAAGCAGGAAGGCGGAGAACAGGGGAAGAAAGAACCUUAAUACACAAAAUGAUGGAAGAAACUGACUUUCAAAUAUUAUGGGCUUCAUUUUUUGGCACAGUCUGUGGACAUUUCCAGCCCCUGCUUCCUCCCCUCUUCAUGUUGGUAGUUGUCCAGUUAAAAGUGCACUUUCUUUCCCACUCUAGUGUGCGCUACACAAGGGCAGAAUAUCGCAUGUCCAAUUUUUACUAUUUCCUGAGUGCCUGGCAUGUCAUGGACUUAUGAUUAAAUAAUGUAAUUGAACAAAAGAAGGAAUGAAUGAGUUAUCAUAGUAUUUAGCUUUCUUAGUCAGAAAUUAGGUUUACUUCCCUCUGCUUCCUGAGAUUUAUCUUUCACUUAAUUCUUUCAUUGGUUAAUAACAAAUUGAUUAUACUUCCUUUCCUCUCAGGACUGGCUCAGAAUAGGACACUCUACACAGAGAUCUUUCUUUUUUUUUUUUUUAAAGGAAAAGCAUGCAGGAUCUUAUUAAUUUAAAAUAAUUUCUGCUAACAAUUGUAGGGUAUAAGAAAGAGUAUAACAAGAUUGGUAAUAACAUUACAAAAUAUAUAAUAAAUAAACAAUGCCUCCUUCUAAGGUCUCUGUUUUGUUAAUAGUAAUGGUCCUUAGAGGAGAGCAACUGAUUUCUUCUGAAAUGAAAAGUGGAAGCUCUACUAGUUUUUGGAUUUCUGUCAUUCCCCCCACCUUUUUUUUUUUUUUCCUGUGAAGGAGAUUACUAAAUGUCUACAGCAUUCUGACUCAACACUUAUAUCACACUUUUUCCUCUAAUGGGCAGUGUGCUUGUCUGAGGAUGCCAGAGCAGAAUGGCAGCCAUGCAGUACGACUCCAGCCAAAUGAGCCAAACUGGACUUUUUUGUCAAGACAUGUGAGUUAAAACCUUCUCAUGUGGCUUUACAGUAUGGAGGGUCCCCUGCACUGCCCACAUUGUGCCUAAUGAAUGAGCCAAGCCUGACCAGGGCACUCUGGUGUGAGGUUGAAGAAAGGAAAUUUGGAACAAAGACGCCAAGCGCUCUGGAGAAGCAGGUGAAACUUCCACUGCCGAACAAAAUCAUAAUGGGAGCAGCCACGGUUAAUAAAGUUGUGAAAGUUUAAAGUACCUUCCAGUUCACUUCCCCUUUUAACUAUCUGACUUUUCAACUUUUGUUUUACAAACCCACUGUCCAUCUCUAUAAAGGAGCAGGGAGUCAGAGAUGGAUCCUGAAAGGGAAGAGGGAGAAAGGGAUGCAUGAAGAGAGGUGGAAAGAGAUGGACGACAAAGGCAGAGGAGAGUAAGAGACCAAAUAAUUAAUCUGUGCUUCCUUUCUUCCUUCCUUCCUCUUUCUUUCUGUCUUUCUUUUUCCCUUCCUUCCUCCCUUCCCUUUUCUUUUCUUUUCCUUCCUUCCUUCCUUCUCCUUCCUUCCUUCCUUCCUCGCUUUCUUUCCUCUUUCUUUUUGAGACAGCGCCUCUCUCUGUUGCCCUGGCUGGAGUGUAGUGGUGCCACCAUGGCUCACUGCAGCUUCCGCCUCAUGGACUCAAGUGGUCCUCCCACGGCAGCCUUCUGAGUAGCUGGCACCACAGGCACACACCACCAUGCCUGGCUAAUUUUUAUUUUUCUUUUUUUGUAGAGAUGAGGUCUUGCUAUGUUGCCCAGGCUGGUCUCAAGCUCCCAGGCUCAAAUGAUCCUCCUGCCUCGGCCUCCCAAAGUGCUGGGAUUACAGGCAUGAGCCACCUUGUCUGGCCCACUUUUCUUUUUAUAGGACUUUAUUAGAUGAGGUGAAGAACAGGUAAUUUGGGUUGAUAAUUUGAGAAUAAAAUGAUUUAUUUUACCAAUUUUUUCUACUUCUCAAUUUUAAAAUAAAAUGAUCCCUUAUUUUGCUAAAGAAAAGAAAUGUGAAGCUAUAUCUGUAAUAGAAAUAUGUAAAAAAAAUUGACAUUCAUGUUUUCACUAUUUACAAAGCUUAGCCACAUGCCCAUUUUAUUUGAUUACUUGUGAGGUGACACAUAUGAGGCAGCUGAGAGUAAGUGAGGACCAUGUGGUAAAAUGAUUGUUGAAGGCAUUCAGCCUGCUGGACUCCUUUACCCACUCCCCACCUGUGCCAGUUCCCAUGUGGAAAUGUGAGUAAGUCUGAGAGAAAGAAACGGGCAACAUUUUAAAUAUCUAUAGAGUACAUAAUUGAUGGAAUGACCCCAAGAUCUACCACCGGAGACAUCCGAAAAGCUUCAAAAGUUGUUCAGGGAAAUUUGAGAAUGACACUUCAUAAAUUUUUAAUAAUAAAAAAUUAUCCACUGAUGGAAACCUCACUAAUUUUUGAGGCAAUCAUGAUGGAACGACAUAGAGACCUCCAGGCCGUAGUCACUGAAUAUAAUAUAAACAGAAUAGCGUCCUUAGUGAACACAACAGCAUAGAUAACAAAAAGAGUAGGUUGGGGCUCUGGUUUCCUGAAGGAGGAACAGCUAUAAUUUUUAAUUGUCUUAAUACUGAAAGGGCCCUUAGGAAAUCUCUACAGUUUCUCUGCAAAUCGCUUUAUCUCUUUUCCUUCAAUUUACUGUUUUUCAGCUCCAGAGAACAUCCCUCACUCAUGCACUCACCCACAAUGUCUUCACCUCCACAGGGGCUCAUCACGGUGGUCAGAGCGAGGGCCCCCAGCAGCAGAGCUUUGUUUAGGAUCAUCCUCUUCCCAAGGCAGCCUCAGCAGUUGGUGUUCUGAGCUGUAGAGUAAUUGUGAGGACCUCAAGACAAGGAAAUCUGAAGACACCCAAACCAAACCCUGCCAAGUCAGGUUUUGGCCAAUUAGAAAAAUCCCCUAUGGUGACAUCUCAGUUACUAGUUGAAGAGUUUGUAUUAAGAGCCCUGGAAGGAGACGGGGCAAUCCCCUUGUGAUGCAGCCUCUACUCAGAGUGGACUUGAGGAAUUGUUCUAUGAAUAAAGGGAGGACAUUAAAUUGGAAUCUUCUCUGGUGUGUGCAUGUCUGCCAGUCGCAAGAGGGAUGGGUGUUUUUCUUUUUUUUCCUUUUUCUUUUCUUUUUCUUUUUUUUUGAGACGUAGUCUCACUCUGUCACCCAGGCUGAGGUACAAUGGCAAGGUCUCGGCUCACUGCAACCUUUGCCUCCCGGAUUCAAGCGAUUCUCCUCCCUCACCCUCCCAAGUAGCUGGGACUGCAGGCACCUGCCACCACGCCCAGCUAAUUUUUGUAUUUUUAGUAGAGACGGGGUUUCACUAUGUUGGCCACGCUGGUCUUGAACUCCUGACCUCAUGAUCUGCCCGUCUCAGCCUCCCAAAGUACUCAGAUUACAGGCAUGAGCCACCGCGCCUGGCCAGGGGUGGGCAUUUCUGAGCAGCCUCGUGGAUAGAUGAGGUCAUCAGUUAUACGGCAUCCUUCAGGAUGUUCUGGCUUACAACCUCCAGGAAUUUUUCCCUGAGUUGAUUUCCCUCCCUGGCAGUCCCCAUCCCCUGCCCUUUCUCUGGCUUCUGUAUGUGGGUUAGCUGUUUUUCUUUUAGCUUCCACAGUGCGUAUGGAAUUCUCCAAAUGUUAAGCUGACCCCACCUACCUAGGGAUCUCUGCUGGUGGUAGCCCAAGCAAUACCUUUGCCUUUUCUACUUGUAUAAAUCCAGCUGGGUAAGUUCUUCUCAAGUGCUCAAAAGCUCCAGGUGGUUUUGGCCAGGGCAAUAAAAAGGGGUUAUAAUGUCAGAUGGGGCUGUCUAUAGUAACUAUAUGAGACUUUAUACAGUUUUUCUUUGCAUUGAGUAAUCCUUAUGUUCUGUGUUUUGGUGCUUCUUGAGUACGUUUAAAGGAAAUUUAGGGACAUUGAUUACAUUUAAAAUUUGGCUGGCUCAAUUACUCUAAGAAUUUUUUUUUUAAUUAAGAAUAUGAAGUCAAAAGUUGAGGGUAGAAUAAGAAUUGCACUGCCUUAGAAAAAUGGUUUUCUUUUCUUAAACUAUCAGAUCUUUUAAAACUUGUUAUCCUACCCCAUUAAAAUUCCAAAUAUUUGCAAGGGACUAGAGAUUGAGCUAAAGUUAGUCCUUAGAGGGAAACUUAUUAUGUUUUUUCAGAUGCAUCUAUUUUCUGUAUGUGAUAGAAACCGUAAGUUAAUGGAGCUUCUAUUUAGAAUCACUCUGUCCUUGAUAAAUGGCCUUCUGAGAUUCUCAGCACUAUGUUUUACCUCCUACUGGCAGAGACUGUAAAAAAAAAAAGUAAAACAAAAAAAAAAAUGUCCUGACACCUGAGAGCUGUCUGGAUGUAAUUAACAAAGGCUUGGGGUUGCUAGCAGCUAGCCUGGCACUCCCAGGUGGUUUUGGUUCUCCUGUUGGAGAUAAAGGAUUUCAUAGAACAUCAGAAUCAGACAGGUACUCUGUGAGCACAGUGGAUUGAGACAGAACACCUGAAUGCUCAGUCAUCAUGUCUGAACCCAGACAAAACAUAAAUAUUGUCCAAACCACAAAAAUGACCAGGCACAUCUCUCUCUUGGGAGUGAUUACUGCUUCUUUACCAACCACGUCUGUAGCCUCAGGAUAGUCUUCUGUCCCUCUAGGUAGGAUUUAUGAAGCUACCCAAUCAUAACAUUGCCACCCCAACCCUCCACUUUCUGUCAGAAUCCAAUUAAAAGCAAAAUCCCUCUUUCUUAAAUCCUCCCCAAAAUCACCUAAAACAAGCACAAACCUUACAACUGAUUAAUGGUCAAUUUUAUGUGUCAGCUAGACUGUGAUCCCCAGUUAUUCAGUCAAACACUAAUAAUCUAGAUGUUGCUGUGAAGAUAUUUUGUAGAUGUCAUUGAAGUUCAUAAUCAGUUGACUUUAAGAAUUUAUCCUAGGAAAACUGGGUGAGCUUAAUCUAAGCUGUUGAAAAGCCUUAAGAGCAGAGCUGAGGUUUCUCUGAGGAAACAGAAAUUCCACUCUGGACAGUGUGUCAGCCUGUGCUGAGAGUUCCAGCCUGCCCUUCCUGAUAACUACCUCCCAGAGGAUCUCUGACUUGCCUAGCCCACCCCCACAGAUGCAAAAAUUAAUUCCUUGCAUCAUUCUCUUAAUAUAUGUAUUCUCGUGGUUCUACUUCUUUGGUUCCAACAAUCUCUUACUGAGGGGCUGCAUGAUUCUCAUGGUGAGUUUUAUCCAUCAUUGCAAUAAACAAUAAAGCUGACUUGUUCA